Molecule: ribosomal RNA, 468 nt
Filed under: uncultured bacterium
Lineage: Bacteria
Description: partial 16S ribosomal RNA
Rfam family: Bacterial small subunit ribosomal RNA
Source: RNAcentral
GACGAACGCUGGCGGCGUGCUUAACACAUGCAAGUCGAACGGAAAGGCCCUGCUUUUGUGGGGUGCUCGAGUGGCGAACGGGUGAGUAACACGUGAGUAACCUGCCCUUGACUUUGGGAUAACUUCAGGAAACUGGGGCUAAUACCGGAUAGGAGCUCCUGCUGCAUGGUGGGGGUUGGAAAGUUUCGGCGGUUGGGGAUGGACUCGCGGCUUAUCAGCUUGUUGGUGGGGUAGUGGCGUACCAAGGCUUUGACGGGUAGCCGGCCUGAGAGGGUGGCCGGCCACAUUGGGACUGCGAUACGGCCCAGUCUCCUACGGGAGGCAGCAGUGGGGAAUAUUGCACAAUGAGCGGGAGCCUGAUGCAGCAACGCCGCGUGCGGGAUGACGGCCUUCGGGUUGUAAACCGCUUUCGCCUGUGACGAAGCGUGAGUGACGGUAAUGAAUAAAGAAGCACCGGCUAACUACGUG